AUGGCUUUUCACAGUUAUCAAUCUUAUCUUCUAGGUGUUUCAUGCAUUGCUUUGGUGUUGGUUUCAGGAUUGGUUACUAGUUUGGAGACUCCAGCAACAGUUUUAGAUGAAACAUGUGCUCCGGGUUGGCCACUUUCAUUUUGUUGUUCUGCGGUUUGUUCUCCAAACUGCGAUCAAGACUGUAAGAGAAAAGGAUAUAAAUCAGGUGGACAUUGCGAAACUUUUGGUAAUACUCUAUGUUGUUGUUUUAGGCCUAGGCCAUGA
Vicia faba (fava bean) is the source of this 264-nucleotide non-coding RNA. NCBI's taxonomy places the organism in Eukaryota, Viridiplantae, Streptophyta, Magnoliopsida, Fabales, Fabaceae. The record is from the annotation of a GenBank genome assembly.